CAAUUCUUUCAUUCCAGCCAUGUACUCCUAAUCUGUAAAUUCUGUUUCCUCUGCCAGAGUGACAUUCUCAUUCUCCUGUGUCUGCUGAAAUCCCAAGGAGACCACCUGGAAAUAAAGAAAGAAGAAACCAAAGAAGGAAGGCCACUCCGAAGAUGACAAGAUCCCAGAAUUCUCGAGCCCAAAGGAGACAUCGUAGGAAUCACUUUGCCCAGUCGAGAUGCCAUGUCUUAGGACAGUGGGUUCUGAAGAUGGAGACUGACUUCAAGGACUAACAUCAUUCCUGUUCCCUCUCAUUGAAGGGUGCACACAUAUUCUGCCC
Long non-coding RNA from Rhinopithecus roxellana (golden snub-nosed monkey), 319 nucleotides. RefSeq lists it as uncharacterized. The record is from RefSeq and is a predicted model, not a curated record. Lineage: Eukaryota; Metazoa; Chordata; Mammalia; Primates; Cercopithecidae. The transcript is spliced from 3 exons.